CAGUAGCCACGGGAACACCAGCAGCCCAAGUGGUGGUCGCGUUUAUUGGGCCUAAAGCGCUCGUAGCCUGGCCGGUAAGUUCCCCGUGAAACCAGGUCGCCCAACGAUUCGGCUUGCGGGGAAUACUGUCGGUCUUGGGGCCGGGAGACGCCGAGGGUACUCCGGGGGUAGCGGUGAAAUGCUGUAAUCCUCGGGGGACUACCAGUGGCGGAGGCGCUCGGCGAUAACGGGCCUGACGGUGAGGGGCGAAAGCUGGGGGCGCGAACGGGAUUAGAUACCCCAGUAGUCCCUGUCUCUUAUA
RNAcentral lists this ribosomal RNA (301 nucleotides) under uncultured bacterium. RNAcentral describes it as "partial 16S ribosomal RNA". It matches the Rfam family "Archaeal small subunit ribosomal RNA", at positions 459 to 759 of the family's 1478-position model. The record is from RNAcentral.